Molecule: ribosomal RNA, 623 nt
Filed under: Gonocarpus micranthus
Lineage: Eukaryota; Viridiplantae; Streptophyta; Magnoliopsida; Saxifragales; Haloragaceae
Description: eukaryotic LSU rRNA
Rfam family: 5.8S ribosomal RNA (bases 238-393)
Source: RNAcentral
CCCGCGAACAAAUACUAACUCGGGGCGCGGGGAAGGCGCACCCGUGCGCCUCCACCCCUCGCCCCCUAGCCGGGCAGCGCCUAUCGUCGCCCCGACCUCCAUCGGGCAGCGUCGAGCGGCGCUCCUACGGCGACAUAACGAACCCCGGCGCGGAAUGCGCCAAGGAAAACAAAACGAACUCAGCACGUCGCCCGCCGACUCGUGCGGCGGCGACGAUGCAAACUUCGAUACCUUAACGACUCUCGGCAACGGAUAUCUCGGCUCUCGCAUCGAUGAAGAACGUAGCGAAAUGCGAUACUUGGUGUGAAUUGCAGAAUCCCGUGAACCAUCGAGUCUUUGAACGCAAGUUGCGCCCGAAGCCAUUCGGCCGAGGGCACGCCUGCCUGGGCGUCACGUAUCGCGUUGCUCCCACAUCACCUGCCCCAAGGGCAUGCGGUGCGGGAGCGGACAUUGGCCUCCCGCGCUCCAAGCUCGGCUGGCCUAAAUGCAAGCCUCGGGGUGACCAAGGGUCACGACAAGCGGUGGUUGAUAAUCUCUCGGCCCUUGUCGCGUCGUGCCCGUCCGUCCCCCUUCGAGCUCCGAAUCCCCAACGCGCCACUUCAAACGGCGCUUGCAUCGCGACC